Molecule: ribosomal RNA, 289 nt
Filed under: Vibrio parahaemolyticus
Lineage: Bacteria; Pseudomonadati; Pseudomonadota; Gammaproteobacteria; Vibrionales; Vibrionaceae
Description: partial 23S ribosomal RNA
Rfam family: Bacterial large subunit ribosomal RNA
Source: RNAcentral
CCGGGGGAACUGAAACAUCUAAGUACCCCGAGGAAAAGAAAUCAAUUGAGAUUCCGAAAGUAGCGGCGAGCGAAAUUGGAUUAGCCCUUAAGCUUUUAAUGACACAGGUGAAGAUUCUGGAAAGUAUUGCGAUACAGGGUGAUAGCCCCGUAACCGACAUGUCAUUUUAAGUGAAAACGAGUAAGGCGGGACACGUGAUAUCCUGUUUGAAUAUGGGGGGACCAUCCUCCAAGGCUAAAUACUCCUGACUGACCGAUAGUGAACCAGUACCGUGAGGGAAAGGCGAAAA